GGCUUGCUGGUCUAGUGGUAUGAUUCUCGCUUCGGGUGUGAGAGGUCACGGGUUCGAUUCCCGUGCAAGCCC
This 72-nucleotide transfer RNA is filed under the name Paramuricea clavata. It matches the Rfam family "tRNA". Rfam says of the family: Transfer RNA (tRNA) molecules are approximately 80 nucleotides in length. Their secondary structure includes four short double-helical elements and three loops (D, anti-codon, and T loops). The record is from Rfam by way of RNAcentral. Lineage: Eukaryota; Metazoa; Cnidaria; Anthozoa; Malacalcyonacea; Plexauridae.